GAAAACAAAAACCAAACAACAAACAGCCAGCUUUCUGCUCAUGGAAAAACACGGAGAAAUAACAGGCAGCGCUGGGUCCGCAACGCCACCAGGAGCCCCCCACCAGCCCCACAAAUGUUGCUGCACUCGGGGGUCCCGUUCUGCACCCCCAGCCCAGCCGGCACCGAGGGCAGGAGCAUCUGGCCGGGGGUGUCGGGAGCGGGGGCUCAGCACUCGGCCCCCACCUCGCCCCGGUGCCGCCGCGCAUCCCCGCGCUCCCCAGGUUGCCACAGAAACGGCUCCGGCUCGGCCGGCUCCUGCCGUAAACACGCCACCGCCACGGGUCAGCCCGGUUCAGCGCCGCCAACACAGCCCACGGCGAGGCCUCGUGGAGCCGAGGGUCCCCGGUGUGGGAAGCGCCCGGUGUGGGGUGCACCCAGGCCGAGCACGGUUGGGUUCAGGCCAGGCUGCAGGAACGGGAACCGGGGCCGAGGCGGAAGCAAGAAAAGCAGCAAAAAGCAGGAACCCGAAAGCAAGAGCAGCCCCGAGUCCCCGUUUCUCCCCCCUCCCUCCCUGGGGACCCAGCGCUGCCCCUGCAGCGGCUGGAUCUGGAGGAGCAGCGCCGGGGACAAGCCGAGGUCCCGUUCAUCCUCGUGGGGCAGCGGGAUGGGGACGGGGACACCACCCACGGGACCGGCACCCGCGCUGGGGGGGCCACGGUGGGAGCCUGGGGUGGGCGAAGCACCAGGAGCAGCUCGGGGGUCCCCCAUGCUCAGGGAGCAGCUCGCAGCCCCCCCACCCCACGGAUGGGCGCGCAGAGGGGCGGCCACAUGCGGUGGCACUCGGGGACCGCGCUGCGCCCGGCUCUGACCUCUGCCACAGCUGGCAGUGGGCGCCGCCGCCGAGACCUUGCUUGGCUCUGCUCUGCUGCGUAUUAAAGUUUGAGCGUGAUGCAAUGUUUGCCUGUUGCUUUAGGAGGCUGAGGAGGCAGGGAUGGCGCUUGGCUCGGGCAGCCGGGGCUCGUGCUCGGCAGCUCGGCACAAAGCCGCCCUUGUGCGGCGAGGAGGGAGCUCGGACGGGCGGCCCCGUGCCCGCUGCAGGUUUCCCCUCGCUGGCCGGCAGAGAAAAAGGACGGAGGAGACGGCAGAGCCUCUCCCCCUUCGCAGGGCAGCAGUUUUGAAAGUUGCCCGGGGCUGCGGUGACUGCGCCAGCACGGGGACAAGCGACCGGCAUCCCCCUCGUCCCCUCUGAGCACCCACCCGCUCCGAAGGGGCCCCCGUCCUGACCCCGAGGGUGGCCACGACCGGACCCCGCAGCCCUCUUCCCCCUUUUCCCAGGGCACGGUACAGAUCCUGCCCUGCCCACGACGCUGCCCUCUGGCUCCCUGCCCCAGCCCCAUGGGGUAGAAAAGCCGGAGCCGUGCCCCGAAGCCACCGGAGCCCCCCCUGCCCCACAGCGUGGCCACGGGUCCAGCCAGGCGGGCAUCUCUCCCCCCACAGAACCAAGACCCGCACACCCCCUCGUGCUGCCCCCAGUAAGACAUCUCUGCUGGUACCAGCACCCCUGGGUCCCAUCGCUCUGCCCCAAAGUGCACGCACCCCCCGUGCCCCC
Molecule: long non-coding RNA, 1590 nt
Organism: Cairina moschata (Muscovy duck)
Lineage: Eukaryota; Metazoa; Chordata; Aves; Anseriformes; Anatidae
Source: Ensembl